This 510-nucleotide ribosomal RNA is filed under the name uncultured bacterium. RNAcentral's name for it is "bacterial SSU rRNA". It matches the Rfam family "Bacterial small subunit ribosomal RNA", at positions 29 to 518 of the family's 1533-position model. The record is from RNAcentral.
AACGAACGCUGGCGGCGUGCUUAACACAUGCAAGUCGAACGCGAAAGGGACUUCGGUCCUGAGUAAAGUGGCGCACGGGUGAGUAACGCGUAGAUAACCUGUCUUCAUGUCUGGAAUAAUACACCGAAAGGGGUACUAAUACCGGAUAUUCUUGCUUUUCAUAAGUUAUGCAAGCAAAGGUGGCCUCUGCAUAUGCUACUGCAUGAAGAGGGGUCUGCGUACCAUUAGCUAGUAGGUGGGGUAAUGGCCUACCUAGGCGACGAUGGUUAGCGGGUCUGAGAGGAUGAUCCGCCACACUGGCACUGGAACACGGGCCAGACUCCUACGGGAGGCAGCAGUGAGGAAUAUUGCGCAAUGGGGGAAACCCUGACGCAGCGACGCCGCGUGAGUGAGGAAGGCCCUCGGGUCGUAAAGCUCUGUCAAGAGGAAAGAAGUGUACAAUGGCUAAUACCUGUUGUAUUUGACGGUACCUCUAAAGGAAGCACCGGCUAACUCCGUGCCAGCCGCCGC